This 510-nucleotide ribosomal RNA is filed under the name marine sediment bacterium ISA-7142. Its description in RNAcentral is "bacterial SSU rRNA". It matches the Rfam family "Bacterial small subunit ribosomal RNA", at positions 37 to 560 of the family's 1533-position model. The record is from RNAcentral.
UGGCGGCGUGCUUAACACAUGCAAGUCGAACGGUGAAGCAGAGCUUGCUCUGUGGAUCAGUGGCGAACGGGUGAGUAACACGUGAGCAACCUGCCCCUGACUCUGGGAUAAGCGCUGGAAACGGCGUCUAAUACUGGAUAUGUGACGUGGCCGCAUGGUCUGCGUCUGGAAAGAAUUUCGGUUGGGGAUGGGCUCGCGGCCUAUCAGCUUGUUGGUGAGGUAAUGGCUCACCAAGGCGUCGACGGGUAGCCGGCCUGAGAGGGUGACCGGCCACACUGGGACUGAGACACGGCCCAGACUCCUACGGGAGGCAGCAGUGGGGAAUAUUGCACAAUGGGCGCAAGCCUGAUGCAGCAACGCCGCGUGAGGGAUGACGGCCUUCGGGUUGUAAACCUCUUUUAGCAGGGAAGAAGCGAAAGUGACGGUACCUGCAGAAAAAGCGCCGGCUAACUACGUGCCAGCAGCCGCGGUAAUACGUAGGGCGCAAGCGUUAUCCGGAAUUAUUGGGCG